Molecule: unclassified non-coding RNA, 168 nt
Filed under: uncultured Chaetomiaceae
Lineage: Eukaryota; Fungi; Ascomycota; Sordariomycetes; Sordariales
Description: sequence contains ITS1
Source: RNAcentral
CAGAGUUGAAAAACUCCCAAAACCAUUGUGAACGUCACCGUUACUGUUGCUUCGGCAGGUGGCUCCCACUCGGGUGCCGCGCCCUCCCCCUCAGGGGUUGGUAGCCUGCCGGAGGCGUCUCAACUCUCGAUUUCAGUUGGCAUCUCUGAGUAACUUAAAAAUAAGUCA